GCUCGUAGUCGAACUUCGGGCCCGGCGUGGCGGUCCGCCUCACGGCUGGUACUGUCUGACGACCGGGCCUUACCUCUUGGUGAAGGCGCGUGCCUCUCGGGGUGCGUGUCGGAACCAGGAACUUUACCUUGAGAAAAUUAGAGUGUUCAAAGCAGGCAAACGCCAGAAUACAUUAGCAUGGAAUAUCAGAAUAGGACGUGCGGUUCUAUUUUGUUGGUUUCUAGGAUCGCCGUAAUGAUCAAUGGGGACGGUCGGGGGCAUUGGUAUUCCGUUGCUAGAGGUGAAAUUCUUAGAUUUACGGAAGACUAACAUCUGCGAAAGCAUUUGCCAAGGACGCUCCCGUCGAUCAAGAAC
This 354-nucleotide non-coding RNA is filed under the name Tremella mesenterica DSM 1558. RNAcentral's name for it is "Eukaryotic small subunit ribosomal RNA". It matches the Rfam family "Eukaryotic small subunit ribosomal RNA", at positions 626 to 984 of the family's 1831-position model. The record is from Rfam by way of RNAcentral. Lineage: Eukaryota; Fungi; Basidiomycota; Tremellomycetes; Tremellales; Tremellaceae.